RNAcentral lists this non-coding RNA (27 nucleotides) under Rattus norvegicus (Norway rat). The record is from RNAcentral. Lineage: Eukaryota; Metazoa; Chordata; Mammalia; Rodentia; Muridae.
UAGCGAUUAGGUUCGUCGAGACAUUGC